RNAcentral lists this small RNA (509 nucleotides) under Pongo abelii (Sumatran orangutan). Its description in RNAcentral is "processed transcript". Lineage: Eukaryota; Metazoa; Chordata; Mammalia; Primates; Hominidae. The record is from RNAcentral.
ACAAGCCACUGGAGUGUCUGCGUUUCUUUUCUGUGGACGUUGUCACCUUUCCCUUCAUUUUGGAGGAGGAAGACGCCCAGCUUUGAAAUGCUUGGGGCAUAAAACUGAUCCUUGGUUAAGAUCAGCAGAGGCUUGCUGUGUGCAACAUAAAUUGUCAGAAAGAUGUAGCACUUAAGCCUCAGGAACGUGUGGAGAAACGCCAGACGCCCCUGACCAAGAAGAAACGAGAAGCACUUACCAAUGGCUUGUCCUUUCAUUCAAAGAAGAGCAGACUCAGCCACCCACACCACUACAGCUCAGAUCGAGAAAAUGACCGCAAUCUCUGCCAGCACCUUGGGAAGAGAAAGAAAAUGCCGAAGGCACUCAGACAGCUCAAGCCAGGACAGAACAGCUGCAGGGACAGUGACAGUGAAAGUGCCAGUGGAGAAUCCAAGGGCUUCCACCGGAGCAGCUCUCGGGAAAGGCUCAGUGAUAGUUCAGCUCCUUCCAGCUUGGGAACAGGCUACUUC